GGCGACCGGGUGAGUAACACGUGACUAACCUACCUUCGAUGGGGAAUAACCUCGGGAAACCGGGGCUAAUACCGCAUAAUGUCUUCGGACCAAAGGAGCAAUUCGCUUGAAGAGGGGGUCGCGGCCGAUUAGCUAGUUGGUGGGGUAACGGCCCACCAAGGCAAUGAUCGGUAGCCGGCCUGAGAGGGCGCACGGCCACACUGGAACUGAAACACGGUCCAGG
RNAcentral lists this ribosomal RNA (223 nucleotides) under uncultured bacterium. RNAcentral's name for it is "partial 16S ribosomal RNA". It matches the Rfam family "Bacterial small subunit ribosomal RNA", at positions 97 to 335 of the family's 1533-position model. The record is from RNAcentral.